RNAcentral lists this long non-coding RNA (266 nucleotides) under Salvia miltiorrhiza (redroot sage). Its description in RNAcentral is "long non-coding RNA (SMIL_LNC004336)". The record is from RNAcentral. Lineage: Eukaryota; Viridiplantae; Streptophyta; Magnoliopsida; Lamiales; Lamiaceae.
UUAAUUAAAAAUAAGAAAGCCCAAUUUAAUUAAUAGGAGGCAGCCCACAAUUUUAAAUAAUUGAAGGUCCAACAUUCUUUUUAAUAAACUGAGCCCAAUUGAAAAUUAAUGGCCCAAACUGAAACAAAAAUAAACAAAAACUCGGCCCAAUACUCGGCCCAAUACUCAAACCUAGCCUAGCCCAAAACUCCCUCCCUUCUUCUCCCCCCAUCAGCCGCACACACACUCACAACUGCAGAUAUCACUCCCUCUCUCCCAAGACUCCG